RNAcentral lists this ribosomal RNA (376 nucleotides) under uncultured bacterium. RNAcentral describes it as "bacterial SSU rRNA". It matches the Rfam family "Bacterial small subunit ribosomal RNA", at positions 28 to 404 of the family's 1533-position model. The record is from RNAcentral.
GACGAACGCUGGCGGCGUGCUUAACACAUGCAAGUCGAAGCGGUAAGGCCCCCUCGGGGGUACACGAGCGGCGAACGGGUGAGUAACACGUGGGUAACCUGCCCCACACACUGGGAUAAGCCUGGGGAAACCGGGUCUAAUACCGGAUAUGACCUACUCCCGCAUGGGGGUGGGUGAAAGCUCCGGCGGUGUGGGAUGGGCCCGCGGCCUAUCAGCUUGGUUGGUGGGGGUAGUGGCCUACCAAGGCGACGACGGGGUAGCCGGCCNGAGAGGGUGUCCGCCACACUGGGACUGAGAUACGGCCAGACUCCUACGGGAGGCAGCAGUGGGGAAUAUUGCGCAAUGGGCGAAAGCCUGACGCAGCGACGCCGCGUGA